Molecule: long non-coding RNA, 592 nt
Filed under: Mus pahari (shrew mouse)
Lineage: Eukaryota; Metazoa; Chordata; Mammalia; Rodentia; Muridae
Description: lncRNA (MGP_PahariEiJ_G0012578.1)
Source: RNAcentral
GAGGAAUGCUAUGUCCUUUCCAGGCUGGUCUUCACUCAUCUGCUGUACCAAUUUCUCCUUUGGGAAUGCCCAGUGACUUUACCCUGCAGACUCUGGGCCCAUCUGAAAGAGGACGAGGUGAAUGCCAGCUGGGUUGGUUGGCUGAAUGAGUGGGUUGCAUGGAUGGAUAAUUGUUCACAUGCCUCAACACUUUCAGUGACCAGUCAACUUGUGAACGUUCAUUCUAGCAGUGGUCAUUCUGCUCCUCCCCUUGAAGCAGAAUGGGAGAGUGUGGAGGAGGGCAGGAGCAGAAGCAAUCUGGAAAUAUGCUUCCAAACCAGUAAAGAUAAAUAAAGAUUCAGACAUCUCAGCAAAACUGGAAGCCAAGAAAUCAAAAGAAACCUUCGGACAAUUGGAAAAAGUUUGAUCCCUGGAAGAAGCAAGCUCAUGUGUGUGCCCCAGUAGGAGUGGGGGAGAGACCAAAGGGCUCUGACCCUGUGGCCCCCGCAUCACAGGUGUUCCGAGCAUCUGUGGACAAAGCUGAAGCUGGAAGGAAGGAGAACUUACCCAUCAAAGCUCUUCCCAUUGCUGUCAUUUAUUAAAGAGAGGCAGU